Molecule: ribosomal RNA, 2927 nt
Filed under: Salmonella enterica subsp. enterica serovar Give
Lineage: Bacteria; Pseudomonadati; Pseudomonadota; Gammaproteobacteria; Enterobacterales; Enterobacteriaceae
Description: bacterial LSU rRNA
Rfam family: Bacterial large subunit ribosomal RNA
Source: RNAcentral
GGGUUGUGAGGUUAAGCGACUAAGCGUACACGGUGGAUGCCCUGGCAGUCAGAGGCGAUGAAGGGCGUGCUAAUCUGCGAUAAGCGCCGGUAAGGUGAUAUGAACCGUUAUAACCGGCGAUACCCGAAUGGGGAAACCCAGUGUGUUUCGACACACUAUCAUUAACUGAAUCCAUAGGUUAAUGAGGCGAACCGGGGGAACUGAAACAUCUAAGUACCCCGAGGAAAAGAAAUCAACCGAGAUUCCCCCAGUAGCGGCGAGCGAACGGGGAGGAGCCCAGAGCCUGAAUCAGCAUGUGUGUUAGUGGAAGCGUCUGGAAAGGCGCGCGAUACAGGGUGACAGCCCCGUACACAAAAGCGCAUGUGCUGUGAGCUCGAUGAGUAGGGCGGGACACGUGGUAUCCUGUCUGAAUAUGGGGGGACCAUCCUCCAAGGCUAAAUACUCCUGACUGACCGAUAGUGAACCAGUACCGUGAGGGAAAGGCGAAAAGAACCCCGGCGAGGGGAGUGAAAAAGAACCUGAAACCGUGUACGUACAAGCAGUGGGAGCACCCUUUGGGGUGUGACUGCGUACCUUUUGUAUAAUGGGUCAGCGACUUAUAUUCUGUAGCAAGGUUAACCGAAUAGGGGAGCCGGAGGGAAACCGAGUCUUAACCGGGCGUUAAGUUGCAGGGUAUAGACCCGAAACCCGGUGAUCUAGCCAUGGGCAGGUUGAAGGUUGGGUAACACUAACUGGAGGACCGAACCGACUAAUGUUGAAAAAUUAGCGGAUGACCUGUGGCUGGGGGUGAAAGGCCAAUCAAACCGGGAGAUAGCUGGUUCUCCCCGAAAGCUAUUUAGGUAGCGCCUCGUGAAUUCAUCUCCGGGGGUAGAGCACUGUUUCGGCUAGGGGGCCAUCCCGGCUUACCAACCCGAUGCAAACUGCGAAUACCGGAGAAUGUUAUCACGGGAGACACACGGCGGGUGCUAACGUCCGUCGUGAAGAGGGAAACAACCCAGACCGCCAGCUAAGGUCCCAAAGUCAUGGUUAAGUGGGAAACGAUGUGGGAAGGCCCAGACAGCCAGGAUGUUGGCUUAGAAGCAGCCAUCAUUUAAAGAAAGCGUAAUAGCUCACUGGUCGAGUCGGCCUGCGCGGAAGAUGUAACGGGGCUAAACCAUGCACCGAAGCUGCGGCAGCGACGCUGAUGCGUUGUUGGGUAGGGGAGCGUUCUGUAAGCCUGCGAAGGUGGCCUGUGAGGGUUGCUGGAGGUAUCAGAAGUGCGAAUGCUGACAUAAGUAACGAUAAAGCGGGUGAAAAGCCCGCUCGCCGGAAGACCAAGGGUUCCUGUCCAACGUUAAUCGGGGCAGGGUGAGUCGACCCCUAAGGCGAGGCCGAAAGGCGUAGUCGAUGGGAAACGGGUUAAUAUUCCCGUACUUGGUGUUACUGCGAAGGGGGGACGGAGAAGGCUAUGUUGGCCGGGCGACGGUUGUCCCGGUUUAAGCGUGUAGGUGUGUGUUCCAGGUAAAUCCGGUUCACUUUAACACUGAGGCGUGAUGACGAGGCACUACGGUGCUGAAGCAACAAAUGCCCUGCUUCCAGGAAAAGCCUCUAAGCAUCAGGUAACAUCAAAUCGUACCCCAAACCGACACAGGUGGUCAGGUAGAGAAUACCAAGGCGCUUGAGAGAACUCGGGUGAAGGAACUAGGCAAAAUGGUGCCGUAACUUCGGGAGAAGGCACGCUGACACGUAGGUGAAGUGAUUUACUCAUGGAGCUGAAGUCAGUCGAAGAUACCAGCUGGCUGCAACUGUUUAUUAAAAACACAGCACUGUGCAAACACGAAAGUGGACGUAUACGGUGUGACGCCUGCCCGGUGCCGGAAGGUUAAUUGAUGGGGUCAGCGCAAGCGAAGCUCCUGAUCGAAGCCCCGGUAAACGGCGGCCGUAACUAUAACGGUCCUAAGGUAGCGAAAUUCCUUGUCGGGUAAGUUCCGACCUGCACGAAUGGCGUAAUGAUGGCCAGGCUGUCUCCACCCGAGACUCAGUGAAAUUGAACUCGCUGUGAAGAUGCAGUGUACCCGCGGCAAGACGGAAAGACCCCGUGAACCUUUACUAUAGCUUGACACUGAACAUUGAGCCUUGAUGUGUAGGAUAGGUGGGAGGCUUUGAAGUGUGGACGCCAGUCUGCAUGGAGCCGGCCUUGAAAUACCACCCUUUAAUGUUUGAUGUUCUAACGUGGACCCGUGAUCCGGGUUGCGGACAGUGUCUGGUGGGUAGUUUGACUGGGGCGGUCUCCUCCUAAAGAGUAACGGAGGAGCACGAAGGUUGGCUAAUCCUGGUCGGACAUCAGGAGGUUAGUGCAAUGGCAUAAGCCAGCUUGACUGCGAGCGUGACGGCGCGAGCAGGUGCGAAAGCAGGUCAUAGUGAUCCGGUGGUUCUGAAUGGAAGGGCCAUCGCUCAACGGAUAAAAGGUACUCCGGGGAUAACAGGCUGAUACCGCCCAAGAGUUCAUAUCGACGGCGGUGUUUGGCACCUCGAUGUCGGCUCAUCACAUCCUGGGGCUGAAGUAGGUCCCAAGGGUAUGGCUGUUCGCCAUUUAAAGUGGUACGCGAGCUGGGUUUAGAACGUCGUGAGACAGUUCGGUCCCUAUCUGCCGUGGGCGCUGGAGAACUGAGGGGGGCUGCUCCUAGUACGAGAGGACCGGAGUGGACGCAUCACUGGUGUUCGGGUUGUCAUGCCAAUGGCACUGCCCGGUAGCUAAAUGCGGAAGAGAUAAGUGCUGAAAGCAUCUAAGCACGAAACUUGCCCCGAGAUGAGUUCUCCCUGAGACUUAGAGUCUCCUGAAGGAACGUUGAAGACGACGACGUUGAUAGGCCGGGUGUGUAAGCGCAGCGAUGCGUUGAGCUAACCGGUACUAAUGAACCGUGAGGCUUAACCUUACAACGCCGAAG